CGCGCGCGGGGCUAGGCGGUGGGGCUGAGGCGGUUCUUGGGCGGGACCCCUGUUGGGGCCCCGCCCCAGUCUCCUCCCUAGCAGGGCCGGACCCGCCCUCCGAGCGCAGCUCCGCAGCCCGCCACCGGGUAAGGCCGGGCGGGUCCCUUCUCGCUCCCGGCUCCUCAGAAGCAAUCCAGCGCCUGCGAGCCACGGCAAGCAGGGCUGUCCUUGCCCCGCGGUUUUGGGGGAUCUCUCCCCCCUACAAGAGGGCCUCCUAAUACCGGGUGUGAGAGAAGAGGGCGAGGGCUUUCUGGUGUGCCCAGGCCAUCUCAGCCCGGAGAGGCCAGAAGAAGGCCAGACUUGAUGCUUUUAUACGAUCAUAGCAGUCUUUUGCCAAAAGGACUUUCUGUAUUUGGAGCGGCGUAGUUGUGUAUUUUAUAAACGUACAUUUCUUGUUUUUGCCCGAGAGCUGUUGAGCUCUUUGUGGGCGGGGUCCUUCAGCCCCUCACAGUGCGGUCGCCCCUCCCCCUCCCUGAGAUGCACCUGCGGACUCUACCCAACCAGCGGUAAAAUUCCCUGAAGACUGACUGGAAGAUGUUCUGGUGGCUCAGGGAGGAGAGUCUUUGAUACUUAUGGUAAUCUGACUCAGGACUGUAUUCUCAACUCCCUUACCUUAGAUCACGAAGAACAAACGGACCCAGCGUCAAGUGGGCAGCUUCUGCUCCAUUGAGCUGAUUGUUCCAUUAUGAGAAUGUUAGCCCAAUGUUGACAGAUAUUUUGUUUUUUUUCUUUUUAAAGGAAAUCUGGGGGGGGGGUUGUGUGUAAAAUCUCCAGGUGUUGGCAACUAAAUCAGAUGUUUUAAAACUGCAUGAGCUGAUUAAGCCGCACGUGGGGGCUGUCAGUUUAUAAGACCUCUGACUUGGAGGAAAGAGUGAAGAGAAGUUCCAAGGCCAAAUCCUAGGCACUCCAGCAUUUAGAGAUAGGGUAAUGGAGAAGGAGACUGAGAAGGAACAGCCAGGUAGACAGAAGGAAGUCCACAGUGUUGAAUUUGGAAUCCAAGGGCAGAGAAGGAUUCAGGUAGGAGGGGAAUGGUCAACUGUGUUUAGUGCUGCUGAGGGGUAAACUUGGGCCAGAAACAUGGAUAUAUUGAAUUGGUCACCUUGGAAGACGAGAUUAUCAUUGGUGACUUUGGCUUGAUUCAUGUUGGUAAAUCAGAGGUGUGGACCUGACUAGAAUGGGUUGAAGAGUGAACAGGAAAGUGAGGAAAUAGAGACAGCACACAUAGGCAACAUGAGAGAAGCUUAGCUGCGAAGGGAGCAAAUUCAGGGAUAAAUGUGGAAGGAUAUGGGGUUAAGAGAGGAUGAAAGAAUUCUAGAGCAUGUUCUAAAAGAUGAAAGGGUUCUAGAGCAUGUUUAUUUGUCAUUGGGAGUGUGAUACAGGAGAGCGAAGCCUUGCUUGACUUUUUUUUUUUCCUGCGCCACAGGGCUUGCAGGAUCUUAGUUCCUUGACCAGGGAUUGAACCCAGGCCCACAGGAGUGAAAGAGCUUAACCACUGGCCUGCCAGGGAAUUCACUUGCUUGACUUAAACCAGGGUGAAGUUCAUGGGAGGAUAUAAGGAAACUGGGAGGAUUGACCCUGGAUAGAAACAGGAUGCUUCCACUGUAGGAAUUAGGGUAACAAGGGUGAAGAUGGGUGCAAAUGCAGGGGAGAGAGAAAGCAAGCUUGCAGUUUUCCUAGUGGGACUGCCUUGGUGGUAUGGGGUACCCAUUUGAAGUUUGUGAUCAUGAGUUUAAAGUUAAACCAGUUGGCCCAGUGUGCGGUUUUUCUCUAAGCAACAUUCAGCUGCUUGGGUACAGACAUGAAAAGGGAUAAUUUGGUUUCUCAGCACCAACACCCAAGUUUUCUGAUUUCUAGUAAUAGGUACUUGCCUUAUGAGAUUAUUUACUAUUCUAGAAAUGUGUGAAGUAUCUGGAAAAUUUACCUGUGAUCCCUUUUUCUAGAAACCAAAUUAUUCCAGUAGUCUCUUAUGUACACCUGAGGACUCAAGCAUAAAGAAAAGGCAAACUUAGAGAAAAAUUACCAGACACCUCUGGAAUAUUUGCAUUUUGCAUUUUUUUCAGCCCUCCACUCCAAACAGCUCCUGGUAUACUUAGGAACUAUGUACUGGAAACAAAGCUGACUUACACUUUAAUGCUUAGCUUCUUUUCUUUCUGGUACCUUUAAUAAUCUGACUAAUUCGCUUUCUAAGACCUUGCCUCAAACCAUCUUAUCUUUAAGCUUCAAGGGUGUCUUCUAGUACUUCCCUGGUGGCGCAGCAGUUAAGAAUCUGCCUGCCAAUGCAGGGACAUGGGUUUAAGCCUUGGUCCGGGAAGAUCCUACAUGCCGCGGAGCAGCUAAGCCCGUGCGCCACAACUACUGAGCCUGUGCUCUAGAGCCCGCGAGCCACAACUACUGAAGCCGGCACACCUAGAGCCCGUGCUCCGCAACAAAAAGAAGCCAGCGCAAUGGGAAGCCCACGCACCACAAUGAAGAAUAGCGCCCGCUCGCUGCAACUAGAGGAAGCCCGCGUGCAGCAACAAAUGCCCAACGCAGCCAAAAAUAAAUAAAUAAAUUUAUUUUUUAAAAAAAGAAUGUCUUCUUUAUGUUUAUUUAUUUUUUUUCAUACUAGUCAUCCAUUUUAUCCACAUAAGUGUAUACAUGUCAAUCCCAAUCUCCCAAUUCAUCACCCCACAACCUCCCCCCCACACCCGCUUUCCCCCCUUGGUGUCCAUAUGUUUUUUCUCUACUUCUGUGUCUCAAUUUCUGCUCGGCAAACCGGUUCAUCUGUACCAUUUUCUAGGUUCCACAUAUAUGCAUAUAUAUAUAUAUAUUCACUCUGUAUGACAGUCUCUAGAUCCAUCCACAUCUCUACAAAUGACCCAAUUUCGUUCCUUUUUAUGGCUGAGUAAUAUUCCAUUGUGUCUAUGUACCACAUCUUCUUUAUCCAUUAGUCUGUUGAUGGGCAUUUAGGUUGCUUCCAUGACCUGGCUAUUGUAAAUAGUGCUGCAAUGAACAUUGGGGUGCAUGUGUCUUUUUGAAUUAUGGUUUUCUCAGGGUAUAUGCCCAGUAGUGGGAUUGCUGGGUCAUAUGGUAAUUCUAUUUUUAGUUCUUUAAGGAAACUCCAUACUGUUCUCCAUAGUGGCUGUAUCAACUUACAUUCCCAUCAACAGUGCAAGAGGGUUCCCUUUUCUCCACACCUCUAAAGCAUUCAUGUGUUUAAAUAUAAGGCAAUGUAUUUAUUUAUUGAUUUAUUUAGUUUGGCUGCGCCCAGUCUUAGUUGCGGCAUGCAGGAUCCUUUUUAGUUGCGGCAUGCAGACUCUUAGUUGUGGCAUGCAUACAGGAUCUAGUUCCCCAACCAGGGAUGGAAUCCGGGCCCCGUGCAUUGAGAGCACAGAGUCUUACCCACUGGACCACCAAAGAAGUCCAAGGCAAUGCAUUUAGAUGGCAAAAACCCUCAAUUGUAUUUACAAUUAUAUUUACAACUGCUAAGGUCUGAAUAUGUGUCCUCCUCAAAAUUCGUAUGUUGAAAUCCUAAUGCUAGAUGUGAUGGUAUUAGUAAGUGGGGCCUUUGGGAGGUGCUUAAGUCCUGAGGGCAGAACCGUCAUAAAUGGGGCUAGUGCCUUAUAAAAGAAGUUUCAUAGAGCUCCUAGCCCCUUCCACCAUGUGAGGACAUGGCAAGAAGGCACAGCUAUGAACCAGGAAAAGGGCCUUCACCAGAAUAUGACCAUGUUGGUGCCUUGACCUCAAAUUUUCCAGCCUCCAGAACUGUGAACAGUAAACAUCUGCUGUUUAUAAGCCACCCAGUCAGUGGUAUUUUGUUACAGCAGCCUGAAUGGACUAAGACAACUACUAUAUUUAUAUUAUAUCAACUAUAAUUACAACUAUAUGACCUCUGAGGCAUCAGUUAGAAACCAGGAAUGGGGUCCAAGUGGCCUUGGAGCCUGCUCUCUGAAGACAAAGAUUCCCAUAUGCUGCUCUUACAUGGCUGAGAAAAUGCUGAGGAUCACUAGGAAGGAACAAAAGGAAAUGUUUUCUUCUUGCAGGAAAUGGUGAUAUGUCCUACUUCAUGAAAUUGGCUCCAAAGACCAAGGAACGGAAAGCCAAACCAAUAGGAUAGGCUGUUUCAUGCUGGAUAGAAACAAGCUUUGACUACAUGAGGAAGAAGAGUGGGAGACUGGAGGAAAGGAAGAGAUCCUCCGUAGACCCCCACACCGCUCCGGCGAAACACGCGCCCCAGGCCCACAGAACGCGGCCCGCAGCCCCCUGGGACCAGCCCCGGAGCCUCCGCAGCCCCGGACCAGGUCGUACCUCUCUUCUUGGAGUUCAUGGCUGGCGGGAGCUGCCAGAGGUCUUGGCACAGCAGCUGGGCUGGAAAAGAGCAAAUCUCAACCUCAGCCAGGCUUUUGUUUCCCAUGCGGGAAAUCCUCAUGUGUGACCUUAGCCAUCUCUCUCCCUUUCCAUGGAAGAUGAGUGUUUCAGACUUUCUCCACAAGCCUCAAACAAGCUCAAGUCACUCCCACAUAGAAGAUGAAAACAACCUUGGAAACCAUCCAAAUGCCCAUCAGUAGAUAAUGGAAUGCUAUACAACAAAAAGAAUGGACAAUAUACAACCACAUGCAACGAUGUGGAUGAAUCCUACAGACAUAAUGUUGAGUGAAAAAAACAAGACCACAAAAGAGAAUAUAUGUUUGAGUUCCUUGAUAUAAAGUUCAAAAACAGUUAAACUUAAUCUAUGGUGACAGAAGUCAGAAUAGUAGUGACUAUUAAUAGUAGUGACACUACCCCUGGGGAGUAGUGACUGGAAGGGAGCGCAAGGGGGCUGACAGGGUACUGAUUAUGUUCUGUUUCCUAAUCUGGGUUGUAUUUCCUGAUCCUAUAUGGGUGUGUUCCUUUGUGAAAAUGUCUUCUGAGCUGUACAGUUAGGACAUGUACCCUUUCUGUGUGAAUAUUAUAUUUCAGUAUAAAGUUAACUUUAAAUAAAUAACUACAAAAAAAAAUGACCCCUCUGUGGACUCCCAGCCUCUUUCUAGCUACCC
This is a long non-coding RNA of Globicephala melas (long-finned pilot whale), 5057 nucleotides long. RefSeq lists it as uncharacterized. The record is from RefSeq and is a predicted model, not a curated record. NCBI's taxonomy places the organism in Eukaryota, Metazoa, Chordata, Mammalia, Artiodactyla, Delphinidae.